This 1182-nucleotide long non-coding RNA is filed under the name Oreochromis niloticus (Nile tilapia). RNAcentral describes it as "lncRNA (ENSONIG00000028818.1)". Lineage: Eukaryota; Metazoa; Chordata; Actinopteri; Cichliformes; Cichlidae. The record is from RNAcentral.
CUUCGUGCUUCCUCCACUUCUGUACCAUUGAUUCAUUAAUGUUAAAUUCUCUGCAGCUGCUCUGUUCCCGUGUUCUACUGCGCGACUGACAGCCUUGAGUUUGAAAUCCGCUUCGUAAGCAUGUCUCUUAACAGGAGCCAUUUUGGGGUCCUUAUACACACACUGUAAUAUUAUGUUGAAGCAGAGUACGGAUUACUCCGCGUAACUCACCAAAGUCGUACUAAAACAUUUUGACAGAUUUUUGAGCGCCAUGUAGCACAUAACAUCAGUUCGAGGUCAGUAAGCACAACCAGAAUUCAUACAUAAGGCGCACUGUUGAUUUUUGAGAAAAUGAAAGGAUUUUAAGUGCCCUUAUAGUGCAGAAAAUGUGCUAUAUAAUGUGUUUAACAAAAGCAGGUUUGAUGCAGAUUGUCACAGAUUCUUCUCAUGUUGUGGCUGUGCCCUACAGACCAGCUGCCAGCAUUGCUGCAGAGCCUGACUCCUCACUCUAGGUGUGAACCCUGCCAGGGUGUGAAGGGUCCUCCAGGUGAGCCAGGAGCACCGGGACCCAAAGGCUCCAUGGGAACUCCAGGCUACCCUGGCAGAAAUGGGGCUCCUGGUUACCCAGGACCUCCUGGAAUACAGGGCCCCGCAGGCCUCAAAGGUGACACGGGACCCAGAGGGUUGAAAGGCAGAAAAGGAGAUGGAGACCAGGGACCACCAGGACCACCUGGACAGCAAGGUAUGUUUAAUUGUGCACAUAUUAACAAUCCAAUAACCUGUACACUGACACUAUCCUCACUGUUAUUCACCCAUGCCAGGAAUUUUACCUGAGAGUUCUGGAAAAUGUGUGAAAGCUCUUAGUAGUGUGGAUUUUUAAUAAAUGCCAUAAAUAUAUCACACAUGUGAACUUGAAUGAAAUCCAAUUCUUAAUCGAUAGAGUUUAAUAUAGUGUCAGCCCACCCUUUGCAUCUAUAACAGCUUCAACUCUUCUGGGAAGACUUUCCACAAAGUUUAGCAGUGCACAUUUAUGUACAUAAAAGUACGUUUAUGAGGUCAAACACUGAUGUUGGACUAGAAGGCCUGACUCGCAGUCUCUGCUCUAUCAUGUUGAUAGAGCAGAGAUGUCUCCAUGUCUUUAUGUAUCUUGCUUUGUUCACUGCUGCUCAGUUAUGUUGGAACAGGAAGGGGCCAUCCCCAAAC